CUGCCAGUUCCACAUAAAGGGUGCACCUCUGAGGCUGAGGGGAUUUAAAAGAGCCUCAAACCUUCCAGUAUCCAGCUGAGAUUCCAGUCAGAAGGAGGAGGAGGAAGUGGAGACAGCUCUGUAUAUCACUCCACACUGAGACACAGCAACCCUGGCUGAUAGAUUUACUUUAAGUGUGUGCAAGGGAGAAGGUCCAAACUCAUGGACCUGGGAUGAAGCAGCUUCCUGCAAUUAUUUACAUAGCAGAUCCAUCAGUACCACUGCAGACAGCUCCUGCUUGAGGCAGCUGAUGGAGCAAGGACAGCAAGGGGAAAAGGAAACAUCAUCUUGAUUUUCCAAACAGGAAAGGGUGGUGCAGAGACAACGUAACGGGGGACUGGAGUACUCUGAAUGUCCUGGAGCAGGACUGUGGCUCUUCUCCAGAAGCACUGCUGCCCCUGGAGAUGCUGCAGGUGCUCCUCAGGGCUUUGAGCCAAUCCCAGCUGGAUGGGAUCCACUGCUUGCCAAGGCCGAACCCAUCCGCGAUGGUGGGAGCACCUCUGGGAUAAUGUGUUUAAGAAGAGGAAAAUCUGCAGUGCAGUGGCAGCCAGAGAGAGGAGUGAGGAGAUGGGAGAGCAGCAGCCCUGCAGACACCAAGGUCAGUGAAACAGAAGUGGAGAGGAGGUGCCAAACUUGAGACUCCCCCAGAGCCCGUGGAAGCUCAUGGUGUACAGUGGGUAUUUUCACCCCGAUGAAGGGGAGAGAGAAUGAUGCAUCCGACUCCAUCAUAUCAGAAGGCCUAAUAAUGACUUUAUUAUACUAUAUUAUUCUAUGCUAUAUUACAUUAUAUUACAUUUCAUCUAAACUGAAUCUGCCAAGCACUCAACUGCUCUGAAUCUCCUGUCUGUCACCUGACAAUCCUGACACACACACACACCUAGCCCUAAUAGGCCAAGGAAACAAAACACCA
Molecule: non-coding RNA, 949 nt
Organism: Zonotrichia albicollis (white-throated sparrow)
Lineage: Eukaryota; Metazoa; Chordata; Aves; Passeriformes; Passerellidae
Source: RefSeq, a predicted model, not a curated record